RNAcentral lists this ribosomal RNA (440 nucleotides) under uncultured bacterium. RNAcentral's name for it is "partial 16S ribosomal RNA". It matches the Rfam family "Bacterial small subunit ribosomal RNA", at positions 338 to 795 of the family's 1533-position model. The record is from RNAcentral.
CCUACGGGGGGCAGCAGUGGGGAAUAUUGCACAAUGGGGGAAACCCUGAUGCAGCGACGCCGCGUGCGUGAAGAAGUCUCUCGGUAUGUAAAGCUGUAUCAGCAGGGAAGAAAAUGACGGUACCUGAUUCAGAAGCCCCGGCUAACUACGUGCCAGCAGCCGCGGUAAUACGUAGGGGGCAGGCGUUAUCCGGAUUUACUGGGUGUAAUGGGAGCGUAGACGGCAGAACAAGUGUGGAGUGAAAUGCCGGUGCUUAACUCCGGAACUGCUUUUGAAACUGUGCGGCUAGAGUGCAGGAGAGGUAAGCGGAAUUCCUGGUGUAGCGGUGAAAUGCGUAGAUAUCACGAGGAACACCGGUGGCGAAGGCAGCUUACUGGACUGUAACUGACGUUGAGGCUCGAAAGCGUGGGGAGCAAACAGGAUUAGAUACCCGGGUAGUC